RNAcentral lists this non-coding RNA (921 nucleotides) under Trichomonas vaginalis G3. RNAcentral describes it as "Eukaryotic large subunit ribosomal RNA". It matches the Rfam family "Eukaryotic large subunit ribosomal RNA", at positions 1106 to 2227 of the family's 3401-position model. The record is from Rfam by way of RNAcentral. Lineage: Eukaryota; Parabasalia; Trichomonadida; Trichomonadidae.
UUAAUGAUUAGCGUUACAAGUGGGCUCUGACCGGUAAGCGGUCAUGGCGAAAUGGGAUGAACCAUACGUCUGAAUAAGGUGCCGAAAUGUACUAUCACUGAUACCAUAAAGGGAGUCCAUGUAUUUAGACAGCAGGUCGGUGCCCCUAAAAGCAGGUAUCCGCUAAAGAGUGUGUUAAAACUCACCUGCCGAAUACUAGGGCCCCGAAAAUGAAUGGCGCAUAUAGUACUACCGAUCUCAGACAUCAGUUCUAUUGAACUGAGAGUAGGGGGAUGUGGACAUUUUUGUGAAGGUGCAAUGUGAGUUGGACUGGAAGAAUGUCUAUUACAGAUCCUAAUUGAAGUAGCGAUUAUCCAGGCUUGUAUCCUGGGGGCUGAUGAGGAGUAGGGUUUCUGGACAACUUAAACAGAUCCAGAGUUAGUCGAUCCUAAUCUCAAUAAUGGGAGAAAGGGAGUACAGUUGAUAUUCUGUAACUGACAACAGUUCGCGGCAACGCAUACUAUUUUUCUCCGCCAAUCUUAUACCGUUGGUAGGGAUCUCUUUCCUACAUGACAGUACUAAUACCCAGGGAAACUGGUCAUCAGGCGAACUGCGGCGUUCUGCUGGCAAAACAUAGCUUCGGUUAUGUCAAUGGCUAUUGGAUUGGUCCAUGAAGCGAAAAAUAGUUUACUGUGUCACUCGUACCGAUAACCGCAUCAGGUCUUCUAGGUAAGUAGCCUAUGGCCAUUGAGGCAUGAUAGUUCAGGGAAUUCGGCCAAUUAGAGCUGUAACUUCGGGAUAAAGCUUGGCUCUGAUGAAAAUCAGAACCGAUUGUUACGCGGAGAGCCCAACUGUUUAAUAAAAACGUAGUGUCGCGCUGUGGUAGUAUAGCCAGUGAACGCGACAUGAAUCCUGCUCAGUGCUGUGUCUGUUAAUAUGGUU